UACGGAGGGGGCUAGCGUUGUUCGGAAUUACUGGGCGUAAAGCGCGCGUAGGCGGCUUUGUAAGUUAGAGGUGAGAGCCCGGAGCUCAACUCCGGAACUGCCUUUAAGACUGCAUCGCUAGAAUUGUGGAGAGGUGAGUGGAAUUCCGAGUGUAGAGGUGAAAUUCGUAGAUAUUCGGAAGAACACCAGUGGCGAAGGCGACUCACUGGACACAUAUUGACGCUGAGGUGCGAAAGCGUGGGGAGCAAACAGG
RNAcentral lists this ribosomal RNA (253 nucleotides) under uncultured bacterium. RNAcentral describes it as "partial 16S ribosomal RNA". It matches the Rfam family "Bacterial small subunit ribosomal RNA", at positions 524 to 776 of the family's 1533-position model. The record is from RNAcentral.